RNAcentral lists this ribosomal RNA (601 nucleotides) under Cryptostemma alienum. Its description in RNAcentral is "partial 12S ribosomal RNA". Lineage: Eukaryota; Metazoa; Arthropoda; Insecta; Hemiptera; Dipsocoridae. The record is from RNAcentral.
UAAUUUAUAUAUAUUUUCAGUAUUUAAUUUUUUAGAAAUAAUUUAUGUUAUAUAAAGUUAUUUAUUUUAGUUUUAACUAAAAUUGUGCCAGCAGUUGCGGUUAUACAAUUAAAACAAAUUAUAUAUUUUGAUUUAAUAUUUUUAUUUUUAUUUAUUUAUUUAUAAUUUUAUUAGGUGAAAUUAUAAAAUUAUUAUAUUUUUGGUUUUUAUAAAUAUAUUAAAAUUUUUUAAUAAACUAGGAUUAGAUACCCUAUUAUUUUAAUUGUAAAUUAUUUUUCAUAUUAUUAUUAAUUAUAUUUUGAAAGUAAAAGAAUUUGGCGGUAAUUUAAUCUUUUUAGAGGAAUCUGUCCUAUAAUUGAUAAUCCACGAUUAAUUUUACUUAAUUUUAUUAUUUAUAUAUCGUUGUCAUUGAAUGUUUUAUAAGAAAAUUUUCUUUAAAAUUUUAUUAAUAUUAUGUUAGAUCAAGGUGUAAUUAUAUUUAAGUAGAGAUGGAUUACAUUUAUUUUAUUAUUGGAUUUAAAUUUUAAAAAUUUAAAGUAAAUUGGAUUUAAUAGUAAUUUUUAUUAUUAUAUAAUUUUGAUUUUAGUUCUAAAUUAUGUAC